Molecule: ribosomal RNA, 253 nt
Filed under: uncultured bacterium
Lineage: Bacteria
Description: partial 16S ribosomal RNA
Rfam family: Bacterial small subunit ribosomal RNA
Source: RNAcentral
UACGGAGGGGGCUAGCGUUGUUCAGAAUUACUGGGCGUAAAGCGCACGUAGGCGGCUUUGUAAGUUAGAGGUGAAAGCCCGGGGCUCAACCCCGGAAUUGCCUUUAAGACUGCAUCGCUAGAAUUGUGGAGAGGUAAGUGGAAUUCCGAGUGUAGAGGUGAAAUUCGUAGAUAUUCGGAAGAACACCAGUGGCGAAGGCGACUUACUGGACACAUAUUGACGCUGAGGUGCGAAAGCGUGGGGAGCAAACAGG